RNAcentral lists this ribosomal RNA (301 nucleotides) under uncultured bacterium. Its description in RNAcentral is "partial 16S ribosomal RNA". It matches the Rfam family "Bacterial small subunit ribosomal RNA", at positions 509 to 807 of the family's 1533-position model. The record is from RNAcentral.
CAGUAGCCGCGGGAAUACGAAGGGUGCAAGCGUUAAUCGGAAUUACUGGGCGUAAAGCGUGCGUAGGCGGUGAGUUAAGUCUGCUGUGAAAUCCCCGGGCUCAACCUGGGAAUGGCAGUGGAUACUGGCUCGCUAGAGUGUGUCAGAGGAUGGUGGAAUUCCCGGUGUAGCGGUGAAAUGCGUAGAGAUCUGGAGGAAUACCGGUGGCGAAGGCGGCCCCCUGGACAAAGACUGACGCUCAGGUACGAAAGCGUGGGGAGCAAACAGGAUUAGAUACCCCUGUAGUCCCUGUCUCUUAUAC